UGGCUUUUACUAUCAUCUAAUCAUAAGUUUAGACGCUUGGUAGCUUCUAAAUUUUCUAAAGCAAAUAAUAGGCAUAUUACCCUGUUAUCCAGCAUAAUUGGGAUUGGGUAAAACGUGUUCAGGCUUGGCUGUAGGAUUUGAAAUGUCUGAAAAGCCUGACCAGGAAAAAAUAAAAGAAUCUUACUCUUUUAAAUGUAAACCAUAGAAGAAAUACUUUCAGAUACUUGGAGUUUGGUUCACACAAACUUUUUAAAUGCUAUGAGUGUUCUUUAUAAGACAUCUCUUAUAACAGGUAUUGACUCUCCCAACUACUUUUGGUGUCUAUAUGACAUAAAGCAGAAUAUAUAGUGAGCAUCGAAGUAACAAGUUCUCUAUGUGCAAAGCUCCUCUUUAGGGAAGCAUACAUUUUUAAAAAGGAUUAACAAUAAAGGAGUACAAAGUAAAACUGCCUGUGGUCCUUAGACUGAAAAUGGCAAAUAGAAAAGGUAAGUUUUUUGGCAUAAUUCCUAAAUGUAGACAGUUGGUGGCCAUGUUUGCUUACAAAGGCAUUGGCUAGCAGAUCAGUUUCUCAGAUGCAUCAUAGCUAAUCAGCUGAUUUUUUAAGCCUUUAAAUUUGAAACCAGUGGACAUGAGAAAAAGUGGGUUUUUGGUUAGUAUCUCCUGAAGUAAUACUAAAUUUACUCACCUGAAUUUAAAGGUCAUCUGUUCUUUUACUGGGUCGGGAAAAAGAUCGUUUGUAGCCCCUGCUUGCGUCCCGUGUAGCUCCCCUUUCCUAGGCUUCCCUAAGACUCAGGCUCGGCGCGGCUUGUCCACAUCAUGUGAGGGUGGCCAUGGGAGCCCUCGGGGUCAUUCAGUCAUAUUCUGACUGCCUUCUGUUACUCCUUUGGAGGACAGAGUUUAAUUCCUUCUAAUUUCUUCCUGGUCCCACUUCAGAAAUAUUUUGCCAUCAUUAAAUUAAAAAGUGUGGAGUAAAAAUGUCCAGCUACAAAAUUUCAUCUUUGCACUAAAUGUCAUUACUGAUUGACCCACUGUUAGGUGACUGACCUGAGAGCUAUCAAGAAAUGGCCUGCGAAUUUUUCUUCAGUUCUGUAUUGUCAGAACAGAC
This is a long non-coding RNA of Bos taurus (domestic cattle), 1105 nucleotides long. The record is from Ensembl. Lineage: Eukaryota; Metazoa; Chordata; Mammalia; Artiodactyla; Bovidae.